Molecule: transfer RNA, 90 nt
Filed under: Propylenella binzhouense
Lineage: Bacteria; Pseudomonadati; Pseudomonadota; Alphaproteobacteria; Hyphomicrobiales; Propylenellaceae
Also listed under: 2 other names
Description: tRNA-Ser
Rfam family: tRNA
About the family: Transfer RNA (tRNA) molecules are approximately 80 nucleotides in length. Their secondary structure includes four short double-helical elements and three loops (D, anti-codon, and T loops).
Source: RNAcentral
GGAGGGGUGGCCGAGUGGUCGAAGGCGCACGCCUGGAACGCGUGUAUACGGGAAACCGUAUCGAGGGUUCGAAUCCCUCUCCCUCCGCCA